GUGGGGAAUAUUGGGCAAUGGGGGAAACCCUGACCCAGCAACGCCGCGUGAAGGAAGAAGGUUUUCGGAUCGUAAACUUCUAUCCUUGGUGAAGAUAAUGACGGUAGCCAAGAAGGAAGCCCCGGCUAACUACGUGCCAGCAGCCGCGGUAAUACGUAGGGGGCAAGCGUUGUCCGGAAUGAUUGGGCGUAAAGGGCGCGUAGGCGGCCUGGUAAGUCUGGAGUGAAAGUCCUGCUCUUAAGGUGGGAAUUGCUUUGGAUACUGUCGGGCUUGAGUGCAGGAGAGGUAAGCGGAAUUCCCGGUGUAGCGGUGAAAUGCGUAGAGAUCGGGAGGAACACCAGUGGCGAAGGCGGCUUACUGGACUGUAACUGACGCUGAGGCGCGAAAGUGUGGGGAGCAAACAGGAUUAGAAACCCCUGUAGUCC
Molecule: ribosomal RNA, 425 nt
Filed under: uncultured bacterium
Lineage: Bacteria
Description: partial 16S ribosomal RNA
Rfam family: Bacterial small subunit ribosomal RNA
Source: RNAcentral